UGCACGCUCAAUAUAUUCUCA
Molecule: non-coding RNA, 21 nt
Filed under: Caenorhabditis elegans
Lineage: Eukaryota; Metazoa; Nematoda; Chromadorea; Rhabditida; Rhabditidae
Source: RNAcentral